RNAcentral lists this long non-coding RNA (564 nucleotides) under Cricetulus griseus (Chinese hamster). RNAcentral describes it as "lncRNA (ENSCGRG00000026203.1)". Lineage: Eukaryota; Metazoa; Chordata; Mammalia; Rodentia; Cricetidae. The record is from RNAcentral.
UGGGGUAGAGAUGUAGCAUCAAACAUUCAUGGAUGUCCAGGGAGCGCGGGCCCAUAGGAUGCUGGCCAGAGGUACUAGGAAGGCGCAGGAGCCGGACGAGGAUGCAUCUUCUUUCCCUGCCUUGGAAAGGGGCUGUUCACAAUGUAUGCUGGACCAUGGUGAGUCCUGAGGUGGUCACAACAGAAGCUUGCCUUGGGCCCAUCUGUCUCCUGCUGCUGUCCACAAGAUGGAGAAGGCGGAAGCAACCUGAGGAGGCCUCUUUGUCUGACACCUCUGCUGAAGUACUGUUAUACAGUGGCUAUUUAAACAUCUAUUGAUGGAGUAAUUUGAAGUCUGCUAUUGUCAGCUCUCCUCAAAGCUGGGCCAUUGAGUAGAUGGGUGCUCUUUGUGCCCAAAGAAACAGCAGCAGGUGAAGGGAUGGAGCAGGAAAUGGUAUCCGCAUCAUAGGAAAGUCAAGCCAACUCCCUGGAGGCAGCUCCAGGGAAAGCAAGUUUUGUUACAUGUGAUUGUCUAAGAAGAUACAUUCGAAGUCUAAAGAAGAUUGCUUUUAACUGGGUAGCAAUG